UACCCGCUGAACUUAAGCAUAUCAAUAAGCGGAGGAAAAGAAAGUAAAUAGGAUGCCCUUAGUAACGGCGAGCGAACCGGGCAAAGCCCAACUUGAAAAUCUCCAGCCUCCGGCUGGCGAAUUGUAGUGUAGAGAACCGCUCUCUGCGCCAGUCCGGCCCCAAGUCCCCUGGAAAGGGGCGUCAGAGAGGGUGAGAACCCCGUUGGGACCGGUGCCUGGUGCUCCACGAGACGCUUUCGCAGAGUCGGGUUGUUUGGGAAUGCAGCCCAAAGCAGGUGGUAAAUCCCAUCUAAGGCUAAAUACAGACGGGAGACCGAUAGCGAACAAGUACCGCGAGGGAAAGAUGAAAAGAACUUUGAAAAGAGAGUUAAAAAGUGCUUGAAAUUGUUGAGAGGGAAGUGAUUGGAUCCUCCGGGUGCGCCCAGGCACACGCCUUCCUAACGGUUGGCUGAAUGCGCUGGGUGCUGGUCAGCAUGGGUUGGCCGGGCGGGACAACCCCGGGGAUUGCUACCCCGGCUAUGUAUCCUGGCGGAGUGAGGAAAGAAGGGCGCUCC
This 554-nucleotide ribosomal RNA is filed under the name Micractinium conductrix. RNAcentral's name for it is "eukaryotic LSU rRNA". It matches the Rfam family "Eukaryotic large subunit ribosomal RNA", at positions 22 to 582 of the family's 3401-position model. Lineage: Eukaryota; Viridiplantae; Chlorophyta; Trebouxiophyceae; Chlorellales; Chlorellaceae. The record is from RNAcentral.